This 448-nucleotide ribosomal RNA is filed under the name uncultured bacterium. RNAcentral describes it as "bacterial SSU rRNA". It matches the Rfam family "Bacterial small subunit ribosomal RNA", at positions 331 to 797 of the family's 1533-position model. The record is from RNAcentral.
CCAGACUCCUACGGGAGGCAGCAGUGGGGAAUAUUGCACAAUGGGGGAAACCCUAAUGCAGCAACGCCGCGUGAGUGAGGAAGUAUUUCGGUAUGUAAAGCUCUAUCAGCAGGGAAUAGAAAAGAAGGUACCUGAAAAAGAAGCCCCGGCUAACUACGUGCCAGCAGCCGCGGUAAUACGUAGGGGGCAAGCGUUAUCCGGAUUUACUGGGUGUAAAGGGAGCGUAGACGGAAAGGCAAGUCAGAAGUGAAAGCCCAAGGCUCAACCAUGGGACUGCUUUUGAAACUGUCAAACUAGAGUACGGGAGAGGUAAGAGGAAUUCCUAGUGUAGCGGUGAAAUGCGUAGAUAUUAGGAGGAACACCAGUGGCGAAGGCGUCGUACUGGACCGAAACUGACGUUGAGGCUCGAAAGCGUGGGGAGCAAACAGGAUUAGAUACCCGGGUACCA